Molecule: ribosomal RNA, 497 nt
Filed under: uncultured bacterium
Lineage: Bacteria
Description: partial 16S ribosomal RNA
Rfam family: Bacterial small subunit ribosomal RNA
Source: RNAcentral
GACGAACGCUGGCGGCGUGCCUAAUACAUGCAAGUAGAACGCUGAAGAGAGGAGCUUGCUCUUCUUGGAUGAGUUGCGAACGGGUGAGUAACGCGUAGGUAACCUGCCUUGUAGCGGGGGAUAACUAUUGGAAACGAUAGCUAAUACCGCAUAACAAUGGAUGACACAUGUCAUUUAUUUGAAAGGGGCAAUUGCUCCACUACAAGAUGGACCUGCGUUGUAUUAGCUAGUAGGUGAGGUAAUGGCUCACCUAGGCGACGAUACAUAGCCGACCUGAGAGGGUGAUCGGCCACACUAGGACUGAGACACGGCCCAGACUCCUACGGGAGGCAGCAGUAGGGAAUCUUCGGCAAUGGGGGCAACCCUGACCGAGCAACGCCGCGUGAGUGAAGAAGGUUUUAGGAUCGUAAAGUUCUGUUGUAAGUCAAGAACGGGUGUGAGAGUGGAAAGUUCACACUGUGACGGUAGCUUACCAGAAAGGGACGGCUAACUACGUG